This 304-nucleotide ribosomal RNA is filed under the name uncultured bacterium. RNAcentral describes it as "bacterial SSU rRNA". It matches the Rfam family "Bacterial small subunit ribosomal RNA", at positions 29 to 334 of the family's 1533-position model. The record is from RNAcentral.
AACGAACGUUAGCGGCGCGCUUAAUACAUGCAAGUCGAGCGAGAAAGGGCUUCGGCCCCAGUAAAGCGGCGCACGGGUGAGUAACACGUAGGUUACCUACCCUCGGGUGGUGGAUAACAGUUCGAAAGGACUGCUAAUACAGCAUAACACCGAAAGGUCAAAGUGGGCCUCUCUAUAGAAGCUCACGCCUGAGGAUGGGCCUGCGGCGCAUCAGCUUGUUGGUGGGGUAAUGGCCUACCAAGGCAAAGACGCGUAGCUGGUCUGAGAGGAUGAACAGCCACACUGGAACUGAGACACGGUCCAG